RNAcentral lists this ribosomal RNA (620 nucleotides) under uncultured bacterium. RNAcentral describes it as "bacterial SSU rRNA". It matches the Rfam family "Bacterial small subunit ribosomal RNA", at positions 338 to 951 of the family's 1533-position model. The record is from RNAcentral.
CCUACGGGAGGCAGCAGUGGGGAAUUUUGGACAAUGGGCGAAAGCCUGAUCCAGCAAUGCCGUGUGUGGGAAGAAGGCCUUCGGGUUGUAAACCACUUUUGUACGGAACGAAACGGCUCGCUUUAAUACAGCGGGCUAAUGACGGUACCGUAAGAAUAAGCACCGGCUAACUACGUGCCAGCAGCCGCGGUAAUACGUAGGGUGCGAGCGUUAAUCGGAAUUACUGGGCGUAAAGCGUGCGCAGGCGGUUAUAUAAGACAGUUGUGAAAUCCCCGGGCUCAACCUGGGAAUUGCAUCUGUGACUGUAUAGCUAGAGUACGGUAGAGGGGGAUGGAAUUCCGCGUGUAGCAGUGAAAUGCGUAGAUAUGCGGAGGAACACCGAUGGCGAAGGCAAUCCCCUGGACCUGUACUGACGCUCAUGCACGAAAGCGUGGGGAGCAAACAGGAUUAGAUACCCUGGUAGUCCACGCCCUAAACGAUGUCAACUGGUUGUUGGGUGCAUUAGUACUCAGUAACGAAGCUAACGCGUGAAGUUGACCGCCUGGGGAAGUCGGCCGCAAGGUUGAAACUCAAAUGAAAUUGACGGCUGAGAGNGCGACGGACGACGACGAGGGAGGAGG